RNAcentral lists this ribosomal RNA (324 nucleotides) under uncultured Glomus. RNAcentral describes it as "partial 18S ribosomal RNA". Lineage: Eukaryota; Fungi; Glomeromycota; Glomeromycetes; Glomerales; Glomeraceae. The record is from RNAcentral.
CGUAAGGCGCCGAAUGAGUCAUUAAAAAUUAACAUCAUCCGAUCCCUAGUCGGCAUAGUUUAUGGUUAAGACUACGACGGUAUCUGAUCGUCUUCGAUCCCCUAACUUUCGUUCUUGAUUAAUGAAAACAUCCUUGGCAAAUGCUUUUCGCAGUAGUUAGUCUUCAAUAAAUCCAAAGAAUUUCACCUCUGACAAUUGAAUACUAAUGCCCCCAACUAUCCCUAUUAAUCAUUACGUCGAUCCUAGAAACCAACAAAAUAGAAUCAAACGUCCUAUUCAUUAUCCAUGCUAAUGUAUUCAAGCGUGAGCCUGCUUUAAACACUC